Molecule: ribosomal RNA, 376 nt
Filed under: uncultured bacterium
Lineage: Bacteria
Description: bacterial SSU rRNA
Rfam family: Bacterial small subunit ribosomal RNA
Source: RNAcentral
UACGUAGGUGGCAAGCGUUGUCCGGAUUUACUGGGCGUAAAGGGCGUGCAGGCGGCCCGUUAAGUGCAGGGUGAAAGCUCCCGGCUCAACUGGGAGAGGUCCUUGCAUACUGGCGGGCUUGAGGGAGCUAGAGGAGAGUGGAAUUCCCGGUGUAGUGGUGAUAUGCGUAGAUAUCGGGAGGAACACCAGUGGCGAAGGCGGCUCUCUGGGGCUUUCCUGACGCUGAGACGCGAAAGCGUGGGGAGCGAACCGGAUUAGAUACCCGGGUAGUCCACGCCGUAAACUAUGGACACUAGGUGUGGGGGGUAUCGACCCCCUCCGUGCCGAAGCUAACGCAUUAAGUGUCCCGCCUGGGGAGUACGGCCGCAAGGCUAAA